UACGAGGGGGGCAAGCGUUGUUCGGAUUUACUGGGCGUAAAGGGCGCGCAGGCGGAUUAUUAAGUCGACUGUGAAAUCUGAGGGCUCAACCUUCAGCCUGCAGUCGAAACUAAUAGUCUUGAGUAUGGAAGAGGAGAGCGGAAUCAGUAGUGUAGCGGUGAAAUGCGUAGAUAUUACUGAGAACACCGGUGGCGAAGGCGGCUCUCUGGUCUAAUACUGACGCUGAGGCGCGAAAGCUAGGGGAGCGAACGGG
RNAcentral lists this unclassified non-coding RNA (253 nucleotides) under uncultured bacterium. Its description in RNAcentral is "contains 16S-23S intergenic spacer region". It matches the Rfam family "Bacterial small subunit ribosomal RNA", at positions 524 to 776 of the family's 1533-position model. The record is from RNAcentral.